AGGACGAACGCUGGCGGCGUGCCUAAUACAUGCAAGUCGAACGGUCUUUCUAUGGAAGCUUGCUUCCACUGAGAAGAUAGUGGCGAACGGGUGAGUAACACGUGGGUAACCUGCCCAUAAGAGGGGGGAUAACAUCCGGAAACGGGUGCUAAUACCGCAUAGUUUUCUUGGUCGCAUGAUCGGGAAAGGAAAGACGGCCUUUGUGCUGUCGCUUAUGGAUGGACCCGCGGCGUAUUAGUUAGUUGGUGAGGUAACGGCUCACCAAGACGAUGAUACGUAGCCGACCUGAGAGGGUGAUCGGCCACAUUGGGACUGAGACACGGCCCAAACUCCUACGGGAGGCAGCAGUAGGGAAUCUUCCGCAAUGGACGAAAGUCUGACGGAGCAACGCCGCGUGAGUGAAGAAAAGGUUUUCGGAUCGUAAAACUCUGUUGUCAGAGAAGAACAAGUUGGAGAGUAACUGCUCCAGCCUUGACGGUAUCUGACCAGAAAGCCACGGCUAACUACGUGCCAGCCGCUGC
RNAcentral lists this ribosomal RNA (521 nucleotides) under uncultured bacterium. Its description in RNAcentral is "bacterial SSU rRNA". It matches the Rfam family "Bacterial small subunit ribosomal RNA", at positions 26 to 518 of the family's 1533-position model. The record is from RNAcentral.